CCAGGGAUAGCUUGGUUGGUAGAGCAUGAGACUCUUAAUUUCAGAGUCAUGGGUUCAAGCCCUACAUUGGG
Non-coding RNA from Podarcis lilfordi (Lilford's wall lizard), 71 nucleotides. The record is from the annotation of a GenBank genome assembly. NCBI's taxonomy places the organism in Eukaryota, Metazoa, Chordata, Lepidosauria, Squamata, Lacertidae.